RNAcentral lists this ribosomal RNA (484 nucleotides) under uncultured bacterium. Its description in RNAcentral is "partial 16S ribosomal RNA". It matches the Rfam family "Bacterial small subunit ribosomal RNA", at positions 28 to 523 of the family's 1533-position model. The record is from RNAcentral.
GAUGAACGCUGGCGGCGUGCUUAACACAUGCAAGUCGAACGGUGAAGCAGGAGCUUGCUCUUGUGGAUCAGUGGCGAACGGGUGAGUAACACGUGAGCAACCUGCCCCUGACUCUGGGAUAAGCGCUGGAAACGGCGUCUAAUACUGGAUAUGUGAUGUGACCGCAUGGUCUGCAUCUGGAAAGAAUUUCGGUUGGGGAUGGGCUCGCGGCCUAUCAGCUUGUUGGUGAGGUAAUGGCUCACCAAGGCGUCGACGGGUAGCCGGCCUGAGAGGGUGACCGGCCACACUGGGACUGAGACACGGCCCAGACUCCUACGGGAGGCAGCAGUGGGGAAUAUUGCACAAUGGGCGCAAGCCUGAUGCAGCAACGCCGCGUGAGGGAUGACGGCCUUCGGGUUGUAAACCUCUUUUAGCAGGGAAGAAGCGGAAGUGACGGUACCUGCAGAAAAAGCACCGGCUAACUACGUGCCAGCCGCCGCGGUAA